Molecule: ribosomal RNA, 428 nt
Filed under: uncultured bacterium
Lineage: Bacteria
Description: bacterial SSU rRNA
Rfam family: Bacterial small subunit ribosomal RNA
Source: RNAcentral
AAUGAACGCUGGCGGCGUGCUUAACACAUGCAAGUCGUACGAGAACGCUUCAGCUUGCUGAAGCUAGUAAAGUGGCGUACGGGUGAGUAACGCGUGGGUAAUCUACCUUCGAAUUGGGGAUAACGUUGCGAAAGUGACGCUAAUACCGAAUAACAUCAUAGAGACCUCGGUUUUUAUGAUCAAAGAUGGCCUCUCCUUGGAAGCUAUUGUUUGGAGAUGAGCCCGCGUCCCAUUAGCUUGUUGGUGGGGUAAUGGCCUACCAAGGCGACGAUGGGUAGCUGGUCUGAGAGGAUGAUCAGCCACACUGGAACUGACACACGGUCCAGACUCCUACGGGAGGCAGCAGUGAGGAAUUUUGCGCAAUGGGGGAAACCCUGACGCAGCAACGCCGCGGGAGUGAUGAAGGCUUUCGGGUGGUAAAGCUCUGU